GACGAACGCUGGCGGCGUGCCUAAUACAUGCAAGUUGAGCGCUGAAGGUUGGUACUUGUACCAACUGGAUGAGCAGCGAACGGGUGAGUAACGCGUGGGGAAUCUGCCUUUGAGCGGGGGACAACAUUUGGAAACGAAUGCUAAUACCGCAUAAAAACUUUAAACACAAGUUUUAAGUUUGAAAGAUGCAAUUGCAUCACUCAAAGAUGAUCCCGCGUUGUAUUAGCUAGUUGGUGAGGUAAAGGCUCACCAAGGCGAUGAUACAUAGCCGACCUGAGAGGGUGAUCGGCCACAUUGGGACUGGGACACGGCCCAAACUCCUACGGGAGGCAGCAGUAGGGAAUCUUCGGCAAUGGACGAAAGUCUGACCGAGCAACGCCGCGUGAGUGAAGAAGGUUUUCGGAUCGUAAAACUCUGUUGGUAGAGAAGAACGUUGGUGAGAGUGGAAAGCUCAUCAAGUGACGGUAACUACACAGAAAGGGACGGCUAACUACGUG
Molecule: ribosomal RNA, 497 nt
Filed under: uncultured bacterium
Lineage: Bacteria
Description: partial 16S ribosomal RNA
Rfam family: Bacterial small subunit ribosomal RNA
Source: RNAcentral